GCCGAUGUAGCUCAAUUGGUAGAGCAACGGUAUCGUAAACCGUAGGUNNAGGUCGUCGGUUCAAUUCCGACCAUCGGCUCCA
This 82-nucleotide transfer RNA is filed under the name Candidatus Komeilibacteria bacterium. RNAcentral describes it as "tRNA-Thr". It matches the Rfam family "tRNA". From Rfam's summary of the family: Transfer RNA (tRNA) molecules are approximately 80 nucleotides in length. Their secondary structure includes four short double-helical elements and three loops (D, anti-codon, and T loops). The record is from RNAcentral. Lineage: Bacteria; Candidatus Komeiliibacteriota.